RNAcentral lists this ribosomal RNA (253 nucleotides) under uncultured bacterium. RNAcentral describes it as "partial 16S ribosomal RNA". It matches the Rfam family "Bacterial small subunit ribosomal RNA", at positions 524 to 776 of the family's 1533-position model. The record is from RNAcentral.
UACGAAGGGAGCUAGCGUUGUUCGGAAUUACUGGGCGUAAAGGGCGCGUAGGCGGUUCUGCAAGUUGGAUGUGAAAGCCCAGGGCUCAACCCUGGAAUUGCAUUCAAGACUGCAUUACUUGAAUUCGGUAGAGGUGAGUGGAAUUCCCAGUGUAGAGGUGAAAUUCGUAGAGAUUGGGAAGAACACCGGUGGCGAAGGCGGCUCACUGGACCGACAUUGACGCUGAGGCGCGAAAGCGUGGGGAGCAAACAGG